AUGGGUCUAAGAAAGUACAGUGCCGCGAGGAGCGGUGAAAACCCUAGCCAAUCCUCUCUCGUCCCCGCGCCUCCAUUCUCCUCCCUCCACGCUAUCCUCCCGCGCCUCCCUCAUAGCCCCGGCGCGGCGCCGCCUCCACCACCUCCUCCUCUCUCUGCUUGCCUCCUCUCUCGCUCAAGAAGGCGGACCGAGCGGCGGCGGCAUAUUGUCCGUAGAUGGAGAAGGCGGACACGAGCGGCGGCGCCAUCUUGUCCGCGGAUGGCAGACGUGUUUCUUGCCGCCGCCGCUGCUCCUCUCCCUCGCCUCCUCUGCGACGCUUCCUCCUCUUCUCUUCUCCCGCUCCAGUCAUGGCGAUGGCGGCCGGGCAGGGAAGCGGCGGCCGGGCCAGGCAGGGCGGCGGCGGCCGGGAACGGAGAAGCGGCCGGGCUGGGAGAGCGUCCUCGUCGCCUUCAACCUCCCCACGCGAGGAUGACAUUAGUCUGCAAUUGUACUCAAUGAACGAUAGCAGUUUUGUUUGCAAAUAGAGAGGAAAAAGUAGGGACGGUGAAGCCUUGGGUUACAUGACAAAUGCAAAAAACUUUUCAAACAGGUGUGCCUGCAAUGGAACAUUGGAUUUCAGCAAUAUUAUUGGUUCUGCAUACAAGGGUACUAUCAAAUGGAGUUGAAAUUGCAGCUGCGUUAAGUUUGGUGACAUUUGCAAAGGAUUGGUUGAAAGAACAGAGUCACCAACUCACCAUACAGGAAAAUGUUGUUCUCCUGUUUUUGACUGCAUCCUUGCGCCGUCGUUACAAGCGAUUUCCCUUCACUACAGCCCCUUUCAUGUCGUUGUUACAAGAGAUUUCACAGUUUCCCCUUGUUACCAUGUUCUUCAGUUAAAAUGCAGUUGUAGUGCUCCAAAGUUAUUUUCUUUACUGUGGUUCGGAUAAGUACAUAUUCAACGAUGUUGGACAUUGCGGUUGGUGGCUACAUAUUUCAAAGAUCAUCUGGGCUAAACCUUGAAAUCAAAUGUAAUUUUGAAGCCAUUCUUGAUUAUUUUGCCAGCUGCGGUACAUGAUCAGAACUAAGGCGACAAUGGCCAGACUAUCACAACAAGACUUGGAUGGAAAGGCCUUUCUGCCCCAGCACAACAUAACUCCUGGGGUCAUAUUCGGCCUCCCAAGGUCCUACUAGGGUUGUUCUUUCUAAGGGUGAAGCAUUGCCUGUUGUGCCAAUGCCGGGCAAAAGGAAUAGCUCUUUUGAAGGACAAAAUGCUGUAACUCUCUUCAUAUACAAGAUAGAACUUAUGACUUCAAUUCCGGUAUAAUUUCACCACUUGCGCCUGUGGCGCAAUGGGUCAUAUAUUCUCUGAGGUUCCCUAAUGUUCCUGAAAGCUGCCCUCAUGUUUGCUAAUGUUUGAUUUGUGCUGUCGCAAGUAGCUUUUGUUUGCACUACUGGACGAACUAUGUUGAGCUUUACUUCUAGGAGGCAAAUUACUCUUUAGCUUAAACAGAUACUUAGAUUUUACAGGACAUUUUACAUGGCUCUUUGAUCACAUCUCCUGGUAUUUUGGGUCUUUCAGGUGAUAGAAAUAGCCAGAUGGGUCACGAAAACAUCGUGAAGAUGGUGAGAUAUUGCAAGGAGUCUGAUCCGUUCUGAGGAAUGCUUGUCUUUGAGUACCAGCCAAAUGGGACCCUCUAUGAUGGGAAAGGAUGUUAACUAUCUUGGCCAGGCGAAGAUUGUGCUCAGCAUCGCGCGCAUUCUAAUGCACUUCACAGUGAGCCGAUGGCUCUGUUCGCGCUCCCCGUGUUGACGGCCAGUUCGGUCUAUUAGUUAUAACAUGGCUUCUUCACUGCAGUUGACAACGAAGACUGCAGGGUGAAAACCCCACAUCAAAUUUAUUGAUUAGUAAAGUCAUAUACAAAAGAUUUGCAAAGGUUAGAGAGUCAGCUAGCUAUAACAGAGAGUCAAUCCAUAUUGCAAACUGUUGUGGGUACUUGGCUUUCACCCUAUGCAAGUGCAGGGUGACCUCAUGCCUAAAUUUGCUUCUCCAGGAUCUAAAAGAUGGCAACACAUUCUGAAAAAUAGCUUCAUUUCUCUCUUUCCAAAUGUGCCAGGCAGCUAGAAUAACAACCUCAGUGAAGAAUGGGUGACCAAGCUGCUGCUUUGUCAACAUAAAACUCAGCUCAAUGGAGUUACCCUGCUGCCAGUGAAUCUGUAGAUAGUUCCAUAUCCUGAUGCUAAAGUUGCAGCCAAAAAAGAGAUGCAUCCAAUCCUCAGUGCACCUUGUGGGACACAACACACAGUGAGACAUUCUCCAAAAAAAAAACACGCACAGUGAAAGACAUCAGUGACAUUCCAGUGUCGUCUGCGAAGCAUGUCUCUGGUAUUUAGUCUAUCACUGAAAAGCAGCCAAGCAUGGUAUUUUCAAUUUAAAUCAUGUAAGUGUGGUUUGUCAUGGAUGUGAUACUCCGUGCUGCAAUCAUUUGGCAAUCAUUCUUGCCACGAAGAAAUUUGUAGAGAUUACCACCUUUGAGAAGGUUAAAAGAUACAAUAUGUUCUCCUCGAGUAAAAUUAGUUCUGCGCAUUCUGAAAUAGAAGUUAUGUCUUGCAACUUCUGGUCACUGCUCUUUGCUAUAAGAAUCAUUGGUUGUUCAGGUAAAAAAAAGAAUCAUUGGUUGUAAUGAGCAUUCAUAGGGC
This 2676-nucleotide ribosomal RNA is filed under the name Triticum aestivum (bread wheat). RNAcentral's name for it is "partial small subunit ribosomal RNA". Lineage: Eukaryota; Viridiplantae; Streptophyta; Magnoliopsida; Poales; Poaceae. The record is from RNAcentral.